This 482-nucleotide ribosomal RNA is filed under the name uncultured bacterium. RNAcentral's name for it is "partial 16S ribosomal RNA". It matches the Rfam family "Bacterial small subunit ribosomal RNA", at positions 30 to 507 of the family's 1533-position model. The record is from RNAcentral.
AUUGAACGCUGGCGGCAUGUCUUACACAUGCAAGUCGAACGGUAACGGGCCUUCGGGUGCCGACGAGUGGCGAACGGGUGAGUAAUACAUCGGAACGUGCCCGAUCGUGGGGGAUAACGAGGCGAAAGCUUUGCUAAUACCGCAUACGAUCUACGGAUGAAAGCAGGGGACCGCAAGGCCUUGCGCGGACGGAGCGGCCGAUGGCAGAUUAGGUAGUUGGUGGGAUAAAAGCUUACCAAGCCGACGAUCUGUAGCUGGUCUGAGAGGAUGAUCAGCCACACUGGGACUGAGACACGGCCCAGACUCCUACGGGAGGCAGCAGUGGGGAAUUUUGGACAAAGGGCGCAAGCCUGAUCCAGCCAUGCCGCGUGCAGGAUGAAGGCCUUCGGGUUGUAAACUGCUUUUGUACGGAACGAAAAGCCUUCUUUUAAUACAGGAGGGUCAUGACGGUACCGUAAGAAUAAGCACCGGCUAACUACGUG